Molecule: long non-coding RNA, 1682 nt
Organism: Solea senegalensis (Senegalese sole)
Lineage: Eukaryota; Metazoa; Chordata; Actinopteri; Pleuronectiformes; Soleidae
Exons: 3
Source: RefSeq, a predicted model, not a curated record
ACACACACACACGCAUCACUUGACCUUUGUUCAAAAACAACAACAAACGUGAAAGUGUGUCACCAGAUGUAAGUGGAUCCACAGACCUGGUCUCCCUUCACCCCGGGAUCUCCGGCGACACCCGGGUCUCCCUGUUCAUGCGUGAAGAGUGACGCGGUCCCUCGGGUCCCUGGAUGAUUCACACACACAGAGAAUGACAUGAAACCUUGUGUCAGUGGAGUCUCUGCCUGCACCAUCAUUUGGGAAACACUGUUCCCGUGAGUAUCACUUUUGUUUGACAUGUUCUCAGUCAUGAAUCAUGUUAGUGUUCUGCAGUUUGAAGUCCAUCUCACCUGGAUGCCCGGAGGACCCGCAGCCCCCACUGGACCCUGUUUUCCUGUUCCUCCCUGGAAAGUGAUUAUAGACACAAUUAACACAGUUUGUCCAUUUAAACAGUGAUCUGCUUACACAGAAAGUAAAUGAACUUACCGUUGCUCCUUUGUUUCCUUGUUUUCCGUCUUCUCCGUCUUUUCCAGGCUCACCCUGUUUGGAAACAUGAGUAUGAGUCAGGAUUUCUUUAGCUGAACACAUAUGAUGUGAUCAAUGUAAUAAUCAUACAGUCUUUCCAGGAAGUCCCACAGGUCCCAUGGCUCCCUCGGCUCCAGUAUCACCCUAAGACCACAAAGAAAAAGAAAACAUGCUGUAGUUAGUUCUAUUCUCUGUGGACGUGCCUCGUUAAAUAAGACAUGAUUCCAAUUACCUUUGUACCAGCGGGUCCUGCGACGCCCGGUUUCCCCGGCAGGCCCUGAAACAAUAACACAGAACAUCAAAGAAGAAGAAGAAGAAGAAGAAGAAGAAGAAGGAAUAAAUAAUAAUAACGUCUCACUGUUGCAACUCAUUUCUCCCCUCGAGUAAAACGUCAAAUCUUCUCUUGUGCUGGCAUUUCAUUAAAGAUGAUUAGCCCCCUUUUUUUUUUAUUCACAGCAGACGGAUGGAUGAGUGGAGCAACAAUAAUAUCCAGUGUAUCAUUAAGAGCCACAGAAUGUCUGUCAUUUAUGUGUAAAAUGACAGAUUUAUUCAGCACAAACACACCAAAGUACCCAGUUUAUAUAACCACUGACGAAGCAUCUGAAAAGUUUCCCUCCUGGACAAAACCUGUUUGAAGGAAAGGCGAGAUAAGGAUAAAAACCGCUCAGCUUUACGUGAGUGUUAUCACAGCCUCUGGUCUUUGAAGCUGCAGAGAAGCUGCAGAGAAGCUGCAGAGAAGCUGCAGAGAAGUAAAACUCUUCCUACACUGAGGUCUGUCGUCACUGCACAACUCCACUCAACUCCUCAUGUUUGCAGUGAACAGUGAAACAGUGAAAUAAUCCACAUGUGGUUUAUUCACAUGUGGUUGACGUUGAUGAUGAAAUAGACUUGAUAUUGACAUUGAAACAGUUAAGUAUAAAUAAUAUAAAGUGACUUACGGGAAUACCCACAAUCCCUCUGACGCCGACGGUUCCGGGCGUUCCAGAUUCUCCCUGUUGAGCACAUUCACAGUGUGUGUGUUAGUGUGACAUUAAAGCGAUAAUGGUAAAUGUAAAGUGAAUGGUAUCGACUGUAUAAUCAGUGAACAUUAAACAUGGGCACAGACAUGAGGCUGAUACGCUGAGGAUUUGUGAUGACUUCUCACUUUGUAAAGGAUGAAGAUACUGUAUAUGUAU